RNAcentral lists this small RNA (556 nucleotides) under Pongo abelii (Sumatran orangutan). RNAcentral describes it as "retained intron". Lineage: Eukaryota; Metazoa; Chordata; Mammalia; Primates; Hominidae. The record is from RNAcentral.
UUGAGCUGAAGAAGAGAAUUCUGGAUGUUAUACUUUCUCAUGAGAAACUUGAGUGGAUAACAGUGUUUUGGAGUUUCUAUUCUUCUAAAUUGAAACUAAAUUCCAUUUCUGUUUUCCUCACAGGGCUGGUGGACGAAGCCAUUGAUACCAAAUCUCUGUUGGAUGCUUCAGAAGAAGCAAUUAAAAAAGACCUGGACAAGUGCAAGGUAGCUAUGGCCAACAUUCAGCCUCAGAUGCUGGUUGCUGGGGCAACCAGCAUUGCUCGUCGGGCCAACCGGAUCCUGCUGGUGGCUAAGAGGGAGGUGGAGAAUUCCGAGGAUCCCAAGUUCCGUGAGGCUGUGAAAGCUGCCUCUGAUGAAUUGAGCAAAACCAUCUCCCCGAUGGUGAUGGAUGCAAAAGCUGUGGCUGGAAACAUUUCUGACCCUGGACUGCAAAAGAGCUUCCUGGACUCAGGAUAUCGGAUCCUGGGAGCUGUGGCCAAGGUCAGAGAAGCCUUCCAACCUCAGGAGCCUGACUUCCCGCCGCCUCCACCAGACCUUGAACAACUCCGACUAAC